ACGAACGCUGGCGGCGUGCCUAAUACAUGCAAGUAGAACGCACAGUUUAUACCGUAGCUUGCUACACCAUAGACUGUGAGUUGCGAACGGGUGAGUAACGCGUAGGUAACCUGCCUGGUAGCGGGGGAUAACUAUUGGAAACGAUAGCUAAUACCGCAUAAUAUUGAUUAUUGCAUGAUAAUUGAUUGAAAGAUGCUAUUGCAUCACUACCAGAUGGACCUGCGUUGUAUUAGCUAGUAGGUGAGGUAACGGCUCACCUAGGCGACGAUACAUAGCCGACCUGAGAGGGUGAUCGGCCACACUGGGACUGAGACACGGCCCAGACUCCUACGGGAGGCAGCAGUAGGGAAUCUUCGGCAAUGGACGAAAAGUCUGACCGAGCAAACGCCGCGUGAGUGAAGAAAGGUUUUCGGAUUCGUAAAAGCUUCUGUU
RNAcentral lists this ribosomal RNA (432 nucleotides) under Streptococcus gordonii. RNAcentral's name for it is "bacterial SSU rRNA". It matches the Rfam family "Bacterial small subunit ribosomal RNA", at positions 29 to 437 of the family's 1533-position model. The record is from RNAcentral. Lineage: Bacteria; Bacillati; Bacillota; Bacilli; Lactobacillales; Streptococcaceae.